Rhipicephalus microplus (southern cattle tick) is the source of this 885-nucleotide long non-coding RNA. The record is from RefSeq and is a predicted model, not a curated record. Lineage: Eukaryota; Metazoa; Arthropoda; Arachnida; Ixodida; Ixodidae.
GGUGCUGCGUUCCAUAGAGUUUCCUAAAGUUUUAGAAAAUUAUAUGCUGUGUUCCUCGUGAAAGUCUGGGAUGCUGCUUAGUGCUCGGAGAAUGCGAUCGGGGCAUCCAAGCUCGAGUUCUCCUGUCCUUGAAUUCUUGCGCAACCGAUGUCAAGUUGUCUGCUCCUUUUGCUCAGUGUAAAUGUUUACGUGUGUUCGAUGAACGUGUUUUGUGAGGGCUGCGGAUCCACUGCGCAGGCUCCUUGUCUUCGGCAUUCCAUAAGGAACACGAUUCACUCGUGCCCGUACAAGGCGAACUGUUUUUGUGUAGUCAGUGCGGCUAUGUGAACAAAAAAGGGGGACUCAUGCGAACACACCUUCGCAAACACAGGGCCAGCGCCCUUCCAGUGCCACCUGUGCCCAGCUGCAUUUACUCAGAAAGGGAACCUCACUGCCCACAUGCGCACCCACACAGGGGAGCGUCCCUUUUCCUGUGACUGCUGCAGUGCAUCGUUCUCACAGAAACAGUCCCUUGUGUAUCACUUGCGCACUCACACAGGCGAUCGUCCAUUUUCCUGUGACCAGUGCAAUGCGUCGUUUGCAAAGAAGACCAGUCUCACUAGGCACAUGAACACCCACACAAAAUAGCGUCCAUUCUUCUGUUGCCACUGCAAUGCAUCUUUUUUAUGAAAACAACAGCUUGUAAACCACGUGUACCAUCAUCAUACAAGAAAGUCAAGAUAAAAAGUGAGUUGUGUACAGACCCUUUCUUUAAGGGGACAUGCAAGUCAAGGUUUUUUUUUAAUUUAUAAGACAGUGUAAUGAACUUUUCGCUUUUUACAUAACUUUUUAUACUGAUUUCAGAUAUGUAGUCAGUUUGUUAUUGAUUUGCACAACUUUGUUUUC